GGCACGGUGGUGCAGUGGGUAGCACUGUCGCCUCACAGCAAAAAGGUCUUUGUUUCAAAUCCGGCCUGGGCCU
This 73-nucleotide transfer RNA is filed under the name Anguilla anguilla (European eel). RNAcentral's name for it is "tRNA-OTHER". Lineage: Eukaryota; Metazoa; Chordata; Actinopteri; Anguilliformes; Anguillidae. The record is from RNAcentral.